Molecule: ribosomal RNA, 478 nt
Filed under: uncultured bacterium
Lineage: Bacteria
Description: partial 16S ribosomal RNA
Rfam family: Bacterial small subunit ribosomal RNA
Source: RNAcentral
GACGAACGCUGGCGGCGUGCUUAACACAUGCAAGUCGAACGGUAAGGCCCUUCGGGGUACACGAGUGGCGAACGGGUGAGUAACACGUGGGUGAUCUGCCCUGCACUUCGGGAUAAGCCUGGGAAACUGGGUCUAAUACCGGAUAGGACCCUGGGAUGCAUGUCCUGGGGUGGAAAGCUUUUGCGGUGUGGGAUGGGCCCGCGGCCUAUCAGCUUGUUGGUGGGGUGAUGGCCUACCAAGGCGACGACGGGUAGCCGGCCUGAGAGGGUGACCGGCCACACUGGGACUGAGCUACGGCCCAGACUCCUACGGGAGGCAGCAGUGGGGAAUAGUGCACAAUGGGCGCAAGCCUGAUGCAGCGACGCCGCGUGAGGGAUGACGGCCUUCGGGUUGUAAACCUCUUUCAGCACCGACGAAGCGCAAGUGACGGUAGGUGCAGAAGAAGGACCGGCCAACUACGUGCCAGCAGCCGCCGCGU